Anguilla anguilla (European eel) is the source of this 1273-nucleotide long non-coding RNA. RefSeq lists it as uncharacterized. The record is from RefSeq and is a predicted model, not a curated record. NCBI's taxonomy places the organism in Eukaryota, Metazoa, Chordata, Actinopteri, Anguilliformes, Anguillidae. The transcript has 4 exons.
CCUGUCAAACUUAUUGGUGAGCGAGUUUGGUUUUUAAAACUCAUUUUUCACGUUAUUAAACGUGCCAUCCAGAAGUAAUGACAUUUUCCAUGUAAUUUGUCAAGCGUUUGUGAUUAGAUUAUGCGCAGUCAGUUAGCCAAAUUGAGUUCCUGUCACGUACUGAGGAAACAAAUUGGAAGGAAACUGUACACUGGCCUUAUGUUCAUUUUCUGAUGAGUAAGUACAUAUAGACUUCAUAAAGUGCAGAUAAUGCCUUCACGAACACGCUGUUAAUCAUCUGCAAAGCAUUCGCCAGAUGCAGUGACGGUGUUAUGCAACACUGCAGUGGGCUACAAUACAUUAUACAUUCGACUUGUGAUGCCACCGCUCUACCACAAAUUAAGUUUAUGUUCAGAAAUUUUUGUCACUCAGUGAACCCCUUAGAAGAGUUUGACUGAUGAUUAAGUAAGUUAAACGUGACUUUACACAUUACGUUCAUCCAAUCAACUUUACUAAUAGCCUACCUAUAUCGAAAAAUGCAAUUAAGAUAUUAUGUAAAACUCUGUUUUAUUAAUUUGUAUGUAUAUAUUAAUUUCAAAUGUGACGAAGUCAUGAAUGUAAAAUGAUCCCCCGAUUGGUUUUGCCAAUGUUUCUAACCAUCCAAGAAAACUAUUUGGUGGUCUGUGGGGGAGACGUCUUCUUUCCAACUGCUGCAAGCAUGAGAAAAAAAAAACCCCGAAAAAUCUGAAAAACAGAAAGUUACUGCUUUGCUAUUGGUCCGCUGGAUAUGCUUCAACCAAUCACCAGCUGAAUAUGGCGUAUCUUCUGCUGACAAUAAACGUGCUUUUAUGAUAAACUACCGAGAGGACCAAAAGUGACAUGAAGGAACAAGUCAAACCCAUCUCCCAAGAUGGCCUGGACUUCGAGAAACCGCAGGGGGCCCGGGGGGCCGUGUGGCUCGGCUCUUCACAGUCAGUGUGAACGGGACCAGCGCUCGGAGCCGGUCCUGGCGGAACACGGCGCACUCCCAAGCGCUCUGCGCCAGCGUGACGUUCCUCACCACGAGCCGGAACUCGCCCGCGUGCUUCUGUGCCUCGGGGUUGGAGAACAUCUGUUGACUCUGCGUGUCGAUCCACAGCAGUCUGGUGGACUCUUUCAGAUUGGAGUCCCAUUCCCACUUCGGAGGAAGAGUUGUCUCUGAUCUGCAACGUAACGCGGCAUCCAAUCCACGCGGUACCUGGAUGACUUCACCUUGUGGAACAAACAUUAAAAUGGUUUCCACGCAUUCACAAAU